This 134-nucleotide unclassified non-coding RNA is filed under the name uncultured fungus. RNAcentral describes it as "sequence contains ITS1, 5.8S rRNA gene". The record is from RNAcentral. Lineage: Eukaryota; Fungi.
AAAGAAGCGGUGCCUUCGGGCCCGACCUUCCAACCACUGCGUACGAAAUCUAGUUGCCUCGGCCGCCUGGCGGCCGAAGGAACCCAAAACGAACUUGUUUGAAUACUGUCCACACCUCGCGAAUGCGAAAAAUA